CGGGUGAGUAAUGUAUCGGAACGUACCAUUCAGUGGGGGAUAACGUAGCGAAAGUUACGCUAAUACCGCAUAUUCUGUGCGCAGGAAAGCAGGGGAUCGCAAGACCUUGUGCUGAUUGAGCGGCCGAUAUCAGAUUAGCUAGUUGGUGGGGUAAAAGCUCACCAAGGCGACGAUCUGUAGCGGGUCUGAGAGGAUGAUCCGCCACACUGGAACUGAGACACGGUCCAGACUCCUACGGGAGGCAGCAGUGGGGAAUUUUGGACAAUGGGGGCAGCCUGAUCCAGCCAUGCCGCGUGAGUGAAGAAGGCCUUCGGGUUGUAAAGCUCUUUCGGCCGGGAAAAAAUCGCAUGGGUUAAUACCCUGUGUGGAUGAUGGUACCGGAAUAAGAAGCACCGGCUAACUACGUGCCAGCAGCCGCGGUAAUACGUAGGGUGCGAGCGUUAAUCGGAAUUACUGGGCGUAAAGCGUGCGCAGGCGGUUUUGUAAGACAGGCGUGAAAUCCACGGGCUCAACCUGGGAACUGCGCUUGUGACUGCAAGGCUAGAGUAUGGCAGAGGGGGGUGGAAUUCCACGUGUAGCAGUGAAAUGCGUAGAGAUGUGGAGGAACACCAAUGGCGAAGGCAGCCCCCUGGGCCAAUACUGACGCUCAUGCACGAAAGCGUGGGUAGCAAACAGGAUUAGAUACCCUGGUAGUCCACGCCCUAAACGAUGUCAACUAGGUGUUGGGAGGGUAAAACCUUUUAGUACCGGAGCUAACGCGUGAAGUUGACCGCCUGGGGAGUACGGCCGCAAGGUUAAAACUCAAAGGAAUUGACGGGGACCCGCACAAGCGGUGGAUGAUGUGGAUUAAUUCGAUGCAACGCGAAAAACCUUACCUACCCUUGACAUGUCCAGGAGCCUGAAGAGAUUUGGGUGUGCCCGAAAGGGAACUGGAACACAGGAGCUGCAUGGCUGUCGUCAGCUCGUGUCGUGAGAUGUUGGGUUAAGUCCCGCAACGAGCGCAACCCUUGUCGUUAAUUGCCAUCAUUCAGUUGGGCACUUUAACGAGACUGCCGGUGACAAACCGGAGGAAGGUGGGGAUGACGUCAAGUCCUCAUGGCCCUUAUGGGUAGGGCUUCACACGUCAUACAAUGGUCGGUACAAAGGGUUGCCAACCCGCGAGGGGGAGCCAAUCCCAGAAAGCCGAUCGUAGUCCGGAUUGCAGGCUGCAACUCGCCUGCAUGAAGUCGGAAUCGCUAGUAAUCGUGGAUCAGCAUGUCACGGUAAAUACGUUCCCGGGUCUUGUACACACCGCCCGUCACACCAUGGGAGCGGGUUCCGCCAGAAGUAGGUAGCCUAACCGCAAGGGGGGCGCUUACCACGGCGGGGUUCGUGACUGGGGUGAAGUCGAAACAAGGUA
This 1399-nucleotide ribosomal RNA is filed under the name metagenome. Its description in RNAcentral is "bacterial SSU rRNA". It matches the Rfam family "Bacterial small subunit ribosomal RNA". The record is from RNAcentral.